Molecule: ribosomal RNA, 375 nt
Filed under: uncultured bacterium
Lineage: Bacteria
Description: partial 16S ribosomal RNA
Rfam family: Bacterial small subunit ribosomal RNA
Source: RNAcentral
UGGGAAUAUUGGACAAUGGGCGCAAGCCUGAUCCAGCCAUGCCGCGUGUGUGAAGAAGGCCCUUAGGGUUGUAAAGCACUUUCAGUGGGGAGGAAGGGUGUUGUGUUAAUAGCACGGCAUUUUGACGUUACCCACAGAAGAAUGCACCGGCUAACUCCGUGCCAGCAGCCGCGGUAAUACGGAGGGUGCAAGCNUUAAUCGGAAUUACUGGGCGUAAAGCGCACGCAGGCGGCUUUUUAAGUCGGAUGUGAAAGCCCCGGGCUCAACCUGGGAAUUGCAUCUGAUACUGGGAAGCUAGAGUAUGUGAGAGGGGGGUUAAAUUCCAAGUGUAGCGGUGAAAUGCGUAGAGAUUUGGAGGAAUACCAGUGGCGAAGG